RNAcentral lists this ribosomal RNA (500 nucleotides) under uncultured bacterium. Its description in RNAcentral is "partial 16S ribosomal RNA". It matches the Rfam family "Bacterial small subunit ribosomal RNA", at positions 28 to 507 of the family's 1533-position model. The record is from RNAcentral.
GACGAACGCUGGCGGCGUGCUUAACACAUGCAAGUCGAACGGGUCUGCCCUGUUUUUUGCGGGGUGGGUCAGUGGCGAACGGGUGAGUAACACGUGAGUAACCUGCCCCUCACUUCUGGAUAACCGCUUGAAAGGGUGGCUAAUACGGGGUGUUCUGGCUGUGCCGCAUGGUGUGGCUGGGAAAGAUUCACUUUUGUGGUGUUUUGGUGGGGGAUGGGCUCGCGGCCUAUCAGCUUGUUGGUGGGGUGAUGGCCUGCCAAGGCUUUGACGGGUAGCCGGCGUGAGAGGGUGGGCGGUCACACUGGGACUGAGAUACGGCCCAGACUCCUGCGGGAGGCAGCAGUGGGGGGUAUUGCACAAUGGGCGGAAGCCUGAUGCAGCGACGUCGCGUGAGGGAUGGAGGCCUGCGGGUUGUGAACCUCUUUCGCCGGUGAAGAAGGUCCUGCUCUUUGUGGUGGGGUUGACGGUAGCCGGGUUAUGAAGCGCCGGCUAACUACGUG